RNAcentral lists this long non-coding RNA (2703 nucleotides) under Patiria miniata (bat star). RNAcentral describes it as "uncharacterized LOC119738173, transcript variant X1". Lineage: Eukaryota; Metazoa; Echinodermata; Asteroidea; Valvatida; Asterinidae. The record is from RNAcentral.
CUUGAAAAGAGACCAGGGAUAGGCCUACACUUAAAUUUGUUAUUUCUUUAAUACUAUGUCACCUCUUACGAUGCUUGAUUUCCUCUUUAAAUAUUAAUUCUAAAUUUUGCUAGUUUACUCUUUUGUCAUGUUUUAGAAGAUGAGGACCGCCAAGCUUGGAUGAGACUGGAAAAUUACGAAGCUGCUCUAUCUGGACAAAGAUGCCCUCGUCAGACACUUUUCAAUUUGCGGAAUAUUGGAUCAAAACAAAAUCAAAUCGGUCCAAAUUAAAUAACAACGAAAAUCACGUAGUACGUGGAGUUUCUUCUCGCAGCACGGCACUUUGUUUCUACAGGUAGCUACAGGAAAAUUACGAAAAUUACACCGAAAAUCAACGCGGCAAAUAAGUAAAGUGACGAAACAUAGUUUACACGGCUAAAAAAUCACAGGGUUAGUUAGAGAAAUAAUACUUGAUAUCAGUGUUAUUUUUCUUACCUACAAAGUAAAAUAAAUCGAUUGCGGAAGAACGAAAUUAAAGAGACGAAAAUUACAGAAAAAAAAUUAACAGCGGCAGCGAAAGAAAUAAAUAUUUGAAAAUCGGUAAUUUUCUAAACUUCUAGGCCCUAUGCCAUGCAAAAAAUUGCUAAUGAAAAAUGACCGAAAUAAAACAAAAAAAAAUCAAAUUAUAAUCGGCAGCCACUUCCGGUACGGUACUACACUGCUUUAAAAAGUCGUAAAGCGAUAACGUACGAGGCCGACAGUGCUGUUUUAUUGAAGGGGAGAACACGAAAACCAUAACGAAAAAAAGCGUUGCAGUAGUUAAAAAGAUCGGUCUAAUAUAGACUUUCACGAUCAAAUCUUUGUGGGCUACGAGUAUACCGUACUUAACGUAAAUUUCAAAAGAAAGCAUUUCAAGAUAUGCGACAGGUUUAGAGUAACAUAGAAAACUGCUAUUUCCUUGUUGAUUUUAGCCUACGUGUAUAACCCUCCUUCCGUAUAGCACUAUGUUCAAUGUAAGUCCGAUUUGGAAGGGAUCGGCAAGGAAUAAGAUGGCAUUUUGUCAUCUUAAUGUCACGUGAAUUUCUUUUAAUGGUUGUUUAUAGUGUGCGAGUUAUAUGCAGUUUCCAAAGCAACCUGCCAUUAUCAGCGUCGGCACAUUAUGAGUAAUCGUGUCUGUUUUAAAAAGGAAAUAAUGGAAACAUGGCUAGAAUCGUUUGGUUUCCAUUGGGUCCUACCCAUGACCUGGUUAUAGGUAGGCUUAGACAUAAUUAUAUUGGCUAUAUUUGCAAUGUUUCACUUCAGUAACAAAUGGGCUAGGCCCAGUGGUUUCGUAACCCUGUCCACUUAGGAAAGAGUUGCAGCUUUCAUCAAAAAACUGAUAAUCUAAAUGUUGAGACUGCAUGGAUGAGCUAGGCUGCUUUGUCUGGACGAAAAUCAACCCUCCAAGGCUCCAACAGCCUCAUCACACGGAAACUCCAGGAACCGGAAGCAGGAAGGAGGACCGACAGAUGGACGGAUGACCUGUUUGCUGGGCUUCCAUUACUGAUUCUUGAAAGAAAUGAGGACCACUGACUGAUGAGGGAAUUGGCUUACUGAGAUGAGGAUGAGCCUGCCUCAAGCCAUCGUAAGCUGGGAGGACCGACGAUGGACUGACACCGUCUGCUGGCCUGGCCAUUACUGAUUUUUGAGGACAUGAGGACCACUAAGCUUGGACAAGACUGGACAAUGACGAAGCUGCUCUACUGGACAAGGAUGCCCUCAUCGGAAACUUGAGUUAAAAAAACUAGCUUGCACAAUAUGAAAUGAUAAAUCAGACUGCAUAAUGCAACGUCAUUAAUGUUAUACACUAAAGCAACAACACUAAAAUAAAAUGAAAAGUAAUUUUGAUUUCAUUAAAUUAUUUAUGCCUCUAAAAUAAUCUUAAACCGGAUACUGCAACAGACAGUUAACAAUGGACAAUAAUGGAAACUUGCUGAAAUAUUAUUGUAAGAGUAAUAAUUUGUCACUGGCUUUUUAGCAGUGAGAUGUCUGGGAGAAGGGAUGUUCCUUUGAUCUGUCCUGGGUCAUCCAAAAUUUAAAGAAUAAACUGUUCAGGAACUUCUAUCCAUUGCAUUGCAACAGGUAUAAGUGACACUCAAAUUUCAUUUGUGUUUGUCCUUUUGUGAUUUAUUUCAUUGCACUUUUUUUUCACUUGUUAUAUUUUUUACUUCGUAUGCACAAUUGUUUUUCUUUGUGGUUUUGCAUGUCUUUUCAUUUUCUUAUUAAUAAUUAACUAACCUCACAAAAGGAUAAACGAAAUAUAUAUCGAGUGUUGAACUUGCCUCGCAUCAAUUAUUGUUUUCACAUAAUAGCUAAAUUAGACAAAAUAUAGUCCUGAAAUGUUUCAAAAUAAUCUAGGAUAUUUUUUUUUGUAGGGGGGGGGCAUUCCCAGUUUUAUCUUCCCUUUUAAAAAUCUUAUUCACAAAAUGGCGAAAUACAAAAACCUGGCUUUACCGUGCACAGUCAUGUAGGCCUAGUCGUUGCUUAUGUAAUAAUCAUCUAUGAUAUAAAGUUAUUAUUAAUUUCUCAAAUUUAUUGGCCUUCUGCCCAACUUUUUUUCUCAUUUGGAAUCUUUUGUAUUUGUUUGUAUGAAUUGGUUUAAAUAUUUGUAUGUCAAUAAGACUAAGGAAUUAAACAAAAUAAAUAUGUGAGACAAAAUAAAGAUGUGAGACACUUGAUAUCCUU